GUGGGAAAAAACACACAAACUGGAAUGUAACAAGACCUAACCAGUAACAAGACCUCGACAAGGACACAAACUCAACACUAGGGACUCUGAAACUGAAAUAUGCAAAGGCUAUGGCGCGGAUGGGUUGUAGGACAUGAAACCAAUAUGGCACUAGACUUAUGGGACGAACACAAGGACACUUCAAACUAAGGGUAGAUGUGAACCUAACGAUAUGUCUGAAGCUUUGAUUACCACUUCAGGAGAACAAGUGUGGCCCGAUCUUCCGAAACUUUCUGGUAACUAUCGAUUUGGUGGAAACGAGAGACAUAUCAAUCCAGCUUGCGAACAACACAAUUCGAAACCCUGCAAUUCUUUUUAUUUUUUUUUGAUAUUUUUCUUUUACUAAGGAGCACUCAAGAAGUAACCACAGGAAAUUUGAGCUUAAACAAGUGAAAGACGUGGCCUGUGGAAUUUUUUGAAGAUUGUG
This 466-nucleotide long non-coding RNA is filed under the name Sorghum bicolor (sorghum). RNAcentral's name for it is "long non-coding RNA (SBIC_LNC010527)". The record is from RNAcentral. Lineage: Eukaryota; Viridiplantae; Streptophyta; Magnoliopsida; Poales; Poaceae.